GCAACCCUGGAUGCUGAAGGCACAUACAGCACUGUGAACACCAGAAAGGAAGCCCAGCAAACAACUACAGACUCUGAAGAUGAAGUGACCUACAGCACAGUGUUUACCAGGACUAGACCACUGCACAAACCCUCUGAAGACCCUGCAAAUGAGGUCACCUACAGCUCAGUUGUUCUGCUCAAUUCACGG
Molecule: long non-coding RNA, 189 nt
Organism: Megalops cyprinoides (Indo-Pacific tarpon)
Lineage: Eukaryota; Metazoa; Chordata; Actinopteri; Elopiformes; Megalopidae
Exons: 3
Source: RefSeq, a predicted model, not a curated record